Elaeis guineensis (African oil palm) is the source of this 1263-nucleotide long non-coding RNA. RefSeq lists it as uncharacterized. The record is from RefSeq and is a predicted model, not a curated record. Lineage: Eukaryota; Viridiplantae; Streptophyta; Magnoliopsida; Arecales; Arecaceae.
CCAUCUUCGGGAUAAGUAGGGCAUCAUUUCUCCAUUUUUAGUUCCAUCUUCGGGAUAAGUGGUCUCUGUGAUUCGCUACGAAUUGAAAAUCGAUUUGAAAAAAUUAGUUAAAAUCGAUCGCUAUUUGGUGAUGAACGCAGGUUCAGCACUUGUUCUCUCGCACUCGUUUACGGAGCUCUCGGGUGUUUGUGCUUGAAUGACACGUAGCAGCAGCAUUUAUAAAAUUGAAGGGAGGAAAAUUGGAACUGAUUCGGAACUAGUGCAGACUGGAUGAUUUCUGAUAUUCUUUUGCUACCAAGAUGGUAUUGCUUGGGAGCCUGUAGGAUGUGGAGCAAUAUUGUCUGGUGGAGCUUCCACAGUAUUCCCGCAUGGUAUCCGGAAUAUACCCCAUAUCUGGACAACUAAGGUUCUGGAGUGGUGUGAUGAGGUUACAUAUAGUCAUUUACUUCGAAUUGGAGCCAUAAAGGCUCCAACCACGUCCCCAUCCAACACAUCCCUGUUCCAGAUAGCUGAUGAUUUAUUGUAGGAUGGAUGACCCCUCUGGUACCUCAAGCCUUUUUCUUCAGUCUCUUCUCUUUCACAGUCUAUUGUAAAGUUAAAACCAUGUUUCACCUUGCGAACAGGAUGUCAUGCGAAUGAGGUAGCCGGAGGCGUUGUCACAUCCUGUUAGUGGGUUUUAAGAUAUAUUUCCAUUCGCUCAUGGCAACGAAGGAAGAUAAUUAUGAAAGGUGGUGGAGCGAGUUUCUGGUUGUCCUGCCAAGAGAUUGUAACCUUUCCAGAACAGUUGCAUGUGCAUCUAAUUGGCUACUACGAAAAGGCAUACACGGAGUUUACCUGAAAAAGGGCAUACAUAGAACACAGACAUAAUGUGAUGGAUAUGGAGGUAGUCAUUCUUCAAUUGGGCUGUGGGUAUUUGGUGGACGGUCGACAUCAAGUUUCCUAUUUGUGAAAUAAGAAACAUGUUCUGAUAGUGUCUAAUUUCUGAUGAGAGCGAACGGAGAAACUCCUGAUAUUGAUUCCAUGUGGCUUCAAUCAACCUUGGGUCCCCCACCAAACAAAAAAAAAAAGUGCUUUCAUGUGUAAGGUCGGAUGUACCUACGUCACUUGAUUUGGCAGAGUUGCCGAUUUGCAUGACUAGGUGCAAUGGUAAGAGUGUCUUAAACUGAAAAGUUGUAAUUGGAUAUCUUGUCAGAAUCUCUUGCCUGUAACCUGUGUCCUGUCACAGUAAUCUCCUUUCUCUUAACCAAGUUGUCUUUUCUCUUA